Molecule: long non-coding RNA, 1756 nt
Organism: Piliocolobus tephrosceles (Ugandan red Colobus)
Lineage: Eukaryota; Metazoa; Chordata; Mammalia; Primates; Cercopithecidae
Source: Ensembl
UAGUGAAUAACCAAAAUUAGUAACAAACAAAGUCGUAAAAUUUAUAAAAACAAAACAAAAUGACUAAAGAAAACAAAAUGACUAAAGAAAACAAAAUGAAUAAAGAAAAGAAAAAGAUUAAAGAAAAGAAAAAAAUUAAAAAAAACAAAAUAAUUGAUAAAAAUAAAAUAAAACGAAAAAAAAACGAAAUUUAUGGAAUAUGAUGAUGACGAAUCAAAAAGAAUCUUCUUAUAUGCAUAUGAACAGGAAUUAAAAAAUGAAACAAUAUGUUGGCGUAAAGCUGAAGAAUUAAAAAUAACAAAACAUAGCGCUAGUUCUAUGAGAGGACAUUACUUAAAUUCUAUAAAAAAUGAAACUUCUUUGUAUUUAGAAAUGUAUGCUGAAGAAGUAGCUAAAUUAUUUAUAAAAGUUAAAAACUGGACAAAAUUACAAAAAAGACAAACAAAAAAAUAUACUAAAUUAUCCAACUAGUGUUAUCAGACAAACAUCCAACAUAUCACUAGAUCGAAUAGCAAAAAAAAAAAAGUUGCCAUUUUAAUAAAUUUAAUUCAUUAGUAAUCAGUAAAGCAUUCUCUAUGCAAGCUAUUAAACAUAUAACAAAACAAAAAAACAAAACAGAUUAAAUUAGCUAACAAAAAAAGUAUAAUAACCGAGAAAGAUAAAGGAAAAAUUUUAAAAAAAGCAAAAACCAAAGUUGAAAUUGGAACCAAAAGUAGCGCCAAAAAUGAGGAAAAAAAAAAAAAAAAAAUAAAAAACAAAGAAAAAAAUAUAAAAAAAAAGAAGGAAAAGACAGCACCAAAAAAGAAAAAAAAGACAAUACCUCUAAAACAGACAAAGAGAAUAAAACCCCAGUAAAAAUAACCGAUGUAAAAAUUAAUAAAAAUGCCACGCAAGAGAAGAACAAAAAGAAGAAGAAAUCAAAACAAAUGUAAAUGGAAAUGGUAAAGAUAUGGAUACAGCUGUAACAGAUGCUACAUCUACUACAGCUACAACGACUGAUAUAAUAAGAGACAAUCGUAUAGACGAAUUUUUAAGAUUUGAUUCUCCUAUAAUUCGAUGUAGAAGUAGUAAUGAAUAUAUGUCGCCUAGAAAAAGGAAAUCAGAAAAUUUAUUGUAUAGUUAUAGAAGUAAAGACUUAGGAAAACAAAAACAAAAAAAAAAAAAAAAAAUUAACAGUAGGAGAAACAGUAAAAUCGAUACAUGUAUAUAUAUAUAUAUAUGUUUAUACGAAAUAAUGCGACCAAGCGGUAGGCAUAAGUAACGAUUAAAAUAGACCCGAAAAAAAAAAUAAUAACUAAUAAUAUAUACAUACUUACAUACAAAAAAAAAAAUGAAUGUGUUAUGUCAAAAAACAAAAAGACAAAUAGGAGUAGUACCUUAAAGCAACAAGCAACUGUUUUAUACAACACUAGCUUUAAUUAUAUAUAUAUAUAUACAUAUAUGUAAGUGCAUUCUUUUUUGAAUUUUUAUAUUUUAAUCAUUUUUUUUUUUUUACUUAUGUGUUCUUAUCCUUUUUUUAUUUUUUUUUUUUUACACUAUUUUUUGAAUUAUAUUCUUUUUUUACAUUUCUUAGUGUCCUUUCCUUUCUUUUUGAGUGUCUUUUUCUACGUUUCUCAGUGUCUUUUUCUUCAUUCCUUUUUUUUUUUUUUUUUUUUUUCUUCGUUCGUACUUUUUAAAUCCACUAAAUCACAAAAUUUACAGUUUCCAAUUUUUAGCAAUUAAUAAAAUAUGUUGGCAUUGAUAUGUGUAUGUAUGU